Molecule: ribosomal RNA, 252 nt
Filed under: uncultured bacterium
Lineage: Bacteria
Description: partial 16S ribosomal RNA
Rfam family: Bacterial small subunit ribosomal RNA
Source: RNAcentral
UACGGAGGGUGCAAGCGUUAUUCGGAUUCACUGGGUUUAAAGGGUGCGUAGGUGGGCAGGUAAGUCAGUGGUGAAAUCUCCGGGCUUAACCCGGAACUGCCGUUGAUACUAUUUGUCUUGAAUAUUGUGGAGGUGAGCGGAAUAUGUCAUGUAGCGGUGAAAUGCUUAGAUAUGACAUAGAACACCAAUUGCGAAGGCAGCUCACUACACAAUCAUUGACGCUGAGGCACGAAAGCGUGGGGAUCAAACAGG